AGUUCCAAAGGAAACUCACUUGUCAUUGUUAUUAGAACAACACGCUAUUCUCUUCCUUUCUUUCUCUUUCUUCAACAAGACAAAUGGGUAGCUUAAUUGGGCAUGUAUUACCAGGAAUAGCAUUUCUUGCACUAGGUUUAUGGCAUCUUUUUAAUCAUAUAAAACUCUACUCUCUACAACCAAACUCCUACAUUUCAUCUCCAUGGUUCCCAACCUCAAAAAUAAGGUACUUGGAACUUCUCUUGAUCAUCGCAGGAAGCUCUAUCUCCAUUUCCAUGGAGCUUUUUAUUGGGCCUCAGAAACACCAACCUUUUGAUACUGAUGGAACCAUACCAUCAAAUCAUUUAAGAAACUUCGAACACUCUUCAAUAUCAAUGUUUUUCAUCGUUUAUGCAUCUUUUGCAAUACUUCUUGAUAGAAUAAAGCCUAUAUCUCAAAUUGACCUAACACAACUCAUUGGAGCAAUAGCUUUUUCUCAGCAAUAUCUUCUCUUCUAUCUUCACUCAACAGAUCAUAAGGGACUUGAAGGGCAAUACCACUUUCUUCUCCAAAUCAUUGUGAUUGUUUCUAUAGUAACUACUCUUAUGGGGAUUGGACUUCCAAAGAGUUUCUUGAUUAGUUUUGUUAGAUCUGUUAGCAUUAUUUUUCAAGGUGUUUGGUUCGUAGUUAUGGGUUAUAUGCUAUGGACACCACAGUUCAUACCCAAAGGUUGCUUAAUCCAUAAUGAUGAUGGUCACAUAGUUGUUAAAUGUGGUAGCCAAGAGGCAUUACAUAGAGCUAAAUCGUUAGUCAAUAUCUUAUUUAGUUGGUUUCUGAUUGGACUUACCAUUUUUUCAAUUUCAUUUUAUUUGGUUUUGGUUGAAAAGAAUAGCAAAAGGGUUCAAUAUUCUUCAUUGCCAAAGGAAUUUGAAGAGCUACAAGAAGACUCUAAUGAUGUUGAAUCCCAAAAGGAGAAGAAAUUUGGUGAUUCCAAGGGUAAUUUUACUCAUGUUGGAUCAGGAUUUCCAGCUUUUGAUUUGGAAAGGUUCAAGUUGUGAGAGAAUUGAAGUUAAAUGUGAUUACCUCUCUGUCCAAAUUUAUUUGCUUGUAGUUAUGCAAAAAGAAGUGCAGAUCUCCUUUCUAAUGAAGCAAGAAAUUUGAAGGUGAUCAGAUCAGACUUGUAGAAUAGAGUCGAACAAUGGCCAUGAAUAGCCACUAAGUGGAGCAAGCGAUCGCAUAUGGCACAAAUAUUAUACUUUGUCAGCUAGAUCAAAUACUUCAAAUCAAGAUUGUGUUUUUUUAUUUUUUGUAUAAGUGAUUUAUUAUUAGACUUGUUGUACAAAAAAAAAA
Molecule: RNA transcript, 1329 nt
Organism: Jatropha curcas
Lineage: Eukaryota; Viridiplantae; Streptophyta; Magnoliopsida; Malpighiales; Euphorbiaceae
Source: RefSeq, a predicted model, not a curated record